GGGGUCGUUACGGAUUCGACAGGCAUUAUGCGACACAUUUUGCAACUCAUCUAGCGGAUGUAAAACGCCAGUUAAAUAUAACUGCAAAAAAUAAUACUUCUUACGCUUUAGCUGCCUAAAAACCAGCCAGCGUGACCUGAUUCGGAUUGCUUGUGUCUGAUGAUAGGUCUUAUUAUUAGCAAGCUACGGUAAAAUCUUGUCUAGGGAUUUUACAAGAGAUGAAUAGACUCGCUUGAUUUUGGCUUGAGUUAUGUGUCAGAAUGAAGUUAAAAGAAUACAUAACCUAUGGUUGUAGACAAAUGUGUUGGCAGGUGUUUGGACGUGGGUUCGACUCCCACCGGCUCCA
RNAcentral lists this transfer-messenger RNA (346 nucleotides) under Streptococcus sp. oral taxon 056 str. F0418. It matches the Rfam family "transfer-messenger RNA". Rfam says of the family: Bacterial tmRNA, also known as 10Sa RNA or SsrA, is named for its dual tRNA and mRNA-like properties. Its role is to liberate the mRNA from a stalled ribosome. The record is from RNAcentral. Lineage: Bacteria; Bacillati; Bacillota; Bacilli; Lactobacillales; Streptococcaceae.